GUAAUAUACCCCAAAAAUAUGUAAAGAAUAAUAAA
This 35-nucleotide small RNA is filed under the name Plasmodium falciparum 3D7. RNAcentral describes it as "Pfa-mtR5997". The record is from RNAcentral. Lineage: Eukaryota; Apicomplexa; Aconoidasida; Haemosporida; Plasmodiidae.